Long non-coding RNA from Lutra lutra (Eurasian river otter), 1562 nucleotides. RefSeq lists it as uncharacterized. The transcript is spliced from 5 exons. NCBI's taxonomy places the organism in Eukaryota, Metazoa, Chordata, Mammalia, Carnivora, Mustelidae. The record is from RefSeq and is a predicted model, not a curated record.
GAACACCUACCUUUCAUCUCCUAAGUGAAAUGCAAGAGGCAUCAUCACUCUAUGGAAAGAAGAAACUCUGCUAGAGAUGUUUUUCCUCACAAUCACUUCCCCUGAUGACGUGCCCUGCUCCUUCAACAUUAGUUCUGCUGUCACCCCUCAUGGAAGCUUUCCUUCACCUUUCAUUAAGCACAGAGCUUUUUCUGACUGAAGGCAGAGAUCUCAGCGUUAUUCAAAGUGUGAGAAGAGCUCAGCUCAGGGCUGUUGCUUUAAAAUGGAAAAACUGUAUGAGAGGAACACAGAUGAGCUAAGCUGCUGAGGGAAUCCCCCAGCUGAGAAACAGGAACCUCAGUCCCAUCAUCACAAUGCACUGAACUCAGCCAACAACGUUAGUGAGUAAAUUCUUCGUCAGAGCAUCCUGAUAAAACACUAGCCCAUGGCUUCUCAUGGCCUUUUAUUAUCACAUAUAUAGUGAUAAAAAAAAUACUCUAUUUUAUAUUGGAAUACCUAAACUGCAACUUUCUUCUGAUGGAUAUGUAAGAGUUAUGUAAUUUUGGAAUUCAUCUGCUCUAUUCAUGAUAAAACACUUAGUGACAGAAUACAAAGAGUUGCUGUAUUAAUCUAAAACAAUGAGGUUUUCAUGGAUAAUGAAAAAAAUAAGUGAAAUGAAAAGCAAGGAUCCUGAAAGAAGAAAAGAAGAAAAAGGAGUUUUCCCUCAGAUUAAAUCAUCUGGCACCAUCAAGACUGAAACGACCUCAGGAAGAGGAUGGAGUCAGUCACAGUGAGAACAAAUGGAUUAAAAUAAAACCAGGGACCAAGAUUUAGGACAAUCACAAACCUAUUAAAAAAAAAAAAGGAAAAGAAAAAAAAAGAAAAGAUUCUAUAUUGAAGGAAAGGUGAGGUAGGAAGUAUGAAAGCAGGGUAAAAAUAAACAGAACAUGGGGAGAAAUCUCUGUGAAGAAAUGUACUUUAAUAUCAGCUCUUCAAAGAGGUGAAUAAAAAGGAAGAUGUAUGGGGUGCUUCCUGAAAGUGGUAUGAGAUGUGCCAAACUCUGAGGGUGAGGACCUUAUGAGUGGUGGCUCAGAUGAAGAACAUGGGAAAAGAAUUCAGAAAAAUGGGAAUAGCAUUCUUCAGUGCCAUGUGGAGGAGGUAAUAUUAAAGAUCCAAUGAUAUAGUUGAGCCCUGAAAAUGUUAGUUUUUAAAAUUUCACUCAAAUAUUUUUUCAAGUUUUCUCAUUCAUACAGAUCACCGGACUAAAUAAAUGAUCACCAGAGAAACCAAACAUUGCCUAUCUUUAUUUAGCCUUUGACACUUGGAAAGAACACAACAUUUUUUUUCCCCUAGCAUCAGCAGCUAAUGCUAUUACAUUAGUUAAUUCUCCCUGUACAUAAAUGAAAACAACAUGGGGAUCGUUUCCUUCAGAUACAGGCUAAGUUUCACAUGACAAGCUCACUGAGUUCAGUUGGUCCACUAUAAACUUCUUAUUUAGAUUAAGAAUACACUAGACAUCUGGGCCAUCCAAGGAGUUCAGGAAUAAUCCAUUAGCAAACCUGCCACUAGAAUACAAAUAUAUA